Molecule: long non-coding RNA, 611 nt
Filed under: Brassica napus (rape)
Lineage: Eukaryota; Viridiplantae; Streptophyta; Magnoliopsida; Brassicales; Brassicaceae
Description: long non-coding RNA (BNAP_LNC017090)
Source: RNAcentral
UUGCAUGGUGCAAUUGGUUUUCAAAAACACUCGAUAGAUGCAUCAAAUUUUAGUAAAUGCUACUGCUAGGAAAAUGGAAGUUGGAUCUGUUAGUCAGCAAGUUGGAACAAGGAUUCGUUGGAGAUUUUUAAAAAAUGUUGCUGCUAUCGAAUAAUGGUCGUGUCUAAUCUCCGUUUUCGAGAUUCAUGAUCUUUGGAUUUACCAUCGGAAGUUUUUUCAAGAGUUGACACUCAUAUCAACCGCUGAGCUGAUUGAUUGAGAAAGGUAUUACCUAGGAAUGAAGUAAAAGGAGUAAAGAAGAAGGCAAUCAUUUAGAGGAAGUUUCUAUGUCUACGCACAUCUUAGCCUUGCAUGAGCCUAACCUGUCAACCGGUUAGGUGAAUGCUGAUGCAAGACCAUUGGAUAAUUGUUUAUGCAUCAGGGAGCUAAAGAGGCAUAAUGAAAAUUAUCCAAUGCACAAGUAAGAGUUGGGCUACAGUUUUGUUUGCUCUUCAAAUUGUUUAUCAUUUCAGUAUGGAGAGAGAAUGCAAGUGUCCACUAUUUAAAUAAAAUAUAAGAAACGCAAAUGCAGUUGCUUAUCCGUUGAGGAGAGGGAAAGUUGGUGUCAAUAU